CUUCACCGACCCCAGCCACAACGGCCGGUCGCCCUCGCGCCCCUGGCCGUAGGUGGCCAGCAGCGCCUGUGCCUC
Non-coding RNA from Streptomyces albus subsp. albus, 75 nucleotides. NCBI's taxonomy places the organism in Bacteria, Bacillati, Actinomycetota, Actinomycetes, Kitasatosporales, Streptomycetaceae. The record is from Rfam.